AUUUUUAAUAAUUAAGUUUAUAAAAUUUAUAGAGUUAACAAAAAUUAGUGAUAUUUUUGAUUAGAACUUACUAACUUUAUUAUGAAUAUUAAGACUAAAAAAUAAAGAUGGUAUGAAAAAAUUCUAUAUUACAUAUCAAACUAAAAGGAUUGAGCGAAUAGAGAGAAAAAAAAUAAAAUAUCAAAUUUUAGUUAAGAUAAAAGAAAGAUAUACAUUAAAGAUGGAUCUAUAUCAAGAAAUGUUAUAUGAAGGAAAACUUUGGCAAUCAAGAAAUCACAAAAUCACAUAAAAUUAAUAAUUAAAAAAAUUAAAUAUUAUAUUAGGUAAUGAGCUAAAAAAUUAGAUUUCUUAGAAGUCUAAAAAUUCCAAAGGAAUAAGCUAUUGAAGACAACAUAUUUAUAGAAUACAUAAAUGAAAAGAAGAAGAAGAAAUAAAGAAAAAAAUUGAUAG
Molecule: long non-coding RNA, 450 nt
Filed under: Physcomitrium patens
Lineage: Eukaryota; Viridiplantae; Streptophyta; Bryopsida; Funariales; Funariaceae
Description: long non-coding RNA (PPAT_LNC001784)
Source: RNAcentral